This 181-nucleotide ribosomal RNA is filed under the name uncultured bacterium. RNAcentral describes it as "partial 16S ribosomal RNA". It matches the Rfam family "Bacterial small subunit ribosomal RNA", at positions 1318 to 1500 of the family's 1533-position model. The record is from RNAcentral.
ACAUGAAGCUGGAAUCGCUAGUAAUCGCGAAUCAGAAUGUCGCGGUGAAUACGUUCCCGGGUCUUGUACACACCGCCCGUCACACCAUGGGAGAUGGAUAUGCCCGAAGUCAGUGACCCAACCGCAAGGGGGAGCUGCCGAAGGUGGAGCCAUUAACUGGGUGAAGUCGUAACAAGGUAUC